CGGCGAACGGUCGAGUAACGCGUAAGCAACCUGCCCGGAAGCGGGGGGAUAAGCCGGAGAAAUCCGGGGUAAUACCGCAUAGCUUGGAGGGGACAUCCCCGUUCAAGAAAGGAGAGCGAUCCGAGAGGGUCGGCUUCACUUCCGGAGGGGCUUGCGGCCUAUCAGCUAGUUGGGGGGGUAACGGGCCCCCCAAGGCGACGACGGGUAGCUGGUCUGAGAGGACGGCCAGCCGGACUGGGACUGAGACACGGCCCAG
This 256-nucleotide ribosomal RNA is filed under the name uncultured bacterium. Its description in RNAcentral is "partial 16S ribosomal RNA". It matches the Rfam family "Bacterial small subunit ribosomal RNA", at positions 96 to 334 of the family's 1533-position model. The record is from RNAcentral.